Molecule: ribosomal RNA, 191 nt
Filed under: uncultured Thioalkalispira sp.
Lineage: Bacteria; Pseudomonadati; Pseudomonadota; Gammaproteobacteria; Chromatiales; Thioalkalispiraceae
Description: partial 16S ribosomal RNA
Rfam family: Bacterial small subunit ribosomal RNA
Source: RNAcentral
CUCAUGGCCCUUAUGGGCAGGGCUACACACGUACUACAAUGGUCGGUACAAAGGGCUGCCAACCCGCGAGGGGGAGCCAAUCCCAGAAAACCGAUCGUAGUCCGGAUUGGAGUCUGCAACUCGACUCCGUGAAGUCGGAAUCGCUAGUAAUCGCAGAUCAGCAUGCUGCGGUGAAUACGUUCCCGGGCCUU